RNAcentral lists this ribosomal RNA (780 nucleotides) under Neocallimastigaceae sp. Its description in RNAcentral is "partial large subunit ribosomal RNA". It matches the Rfam family "Eukaryotic large subunit ribosomal RNA", at positions 38 to 667 of the family's 3401-position model. The record is from RNAcentral. Lineage: Eukaryota; Fungi; Neocallimastigomycota; Neocallimastigomycetes; Neocallimastigales; Neocallimastigaceae.
GCAUAUCAAUAAGCGGAGGAAAAGAAACUAACAAGGAUUCCCCUAGUAACGGCGAGUGAAGCGGGAAGAGCUCAAAUUUGAAAUCUUCAAGGUUUGACCUUGACGAAUUGUAGUUUAAAGAAGUGUUUUCGGUUAGAGGAGUGGUAAAAGUUCUUUGGAAUAGGACAUCAUAGAGGGUGAGAAUCCCGUAUUUGACCAUUCUUUCUAGCUUUGUGAUACACUUUCAAAGAGUCGGAUUGUUUGGGAAUGCAGUCCAAAAUGGGUGGUAAAUUUCAUCUAAAGCUAAAUAUUGGCGAGAGACCGAUAGCGAACAAGUACCGUGAGGGAAAGAUGAAAAGAACUUUGAAAAGAGAGUUAAACAGUACGUAAAAUUGUCAAAAGGGAAGCGUUUGACACCAGUGUUGUUUUUCCGAAAAUCAAUUAAAAAUAAAUUCAUGCCAGGUUGUAUCGACCUUAUCAGCUUGCAAUUUGGUUUUGGGUUUCUUUUUGAUGCACUUUUCGGUUAACAAGUCAACAUCAAUUUCCUUUGCUGUAAAAAGACAAGAGGAAGGUGGCUUCAAUUUCGGUUGAAGUGUUUAUAGCCUUUUGCCUCUGCAGUCGGGGAGAUUGAGGUCUGCAGCGUAGAUCCUUCGGGGCUAGAUACAGUCGUGCUAAGUUAUAGCCAUUUAUAGACAACUUGUUGACUAUGAUUGGUCAUGUAGCUUACUCGCGAUUGCUAUUUUACCUACGCUUAGGAUGUUGACAAAAUGGUUUUAAACGACCCGUCUUGAAACACGGACC